Molecule: ribosomal RNA, 446 nt
Filed under: uncultured bacterium
Lineage: Bacteria
Description: partial 16S ribosomal RNA
Rfam family: Bacterial small subunit ribosomal RNA
Source: RNAcentral
CCUACGGGUGGCAGCAGUCGAGAAUCAUUCACAAUGGGGGAAACCCUGAUGGUGCGACGCCGCGUGGGGGAAUGAAGGUCUUCGGAUUGUAAACCCCUGUCAUGUGGGAGCAAAUUAAAAAGAUCGUACCACAAGAGGAAGAGACGGCUAACUCUGUGCCAGCAGCCGCGGUAAUACAGAGGUCUCAAGCGUUGUUCGGAAUCACUGGGCGUAAGGCGUGCGUAGGCUGUUUCGUAAGUCGUGUGUGAAAGGCGCGGGCUCAACCCGCGGACGGCACAUGAUACUGCGAGACUAGAGUAAUGGAGGGGGAACCGGAAUUCUCGGUGUAGCAGUGAAAUGCGUAGAUAUCGAGAGGAACACUCGUGGCGAAGGCGGGUUCCUGGACAGUAACUGACGCUGAGGCACGAAGGCCAGGGGAGCGAAAGGGAUUAGAUACCCCUGUAGUC